RNAcentral lists this ribosomal RNA (245 nucleotides) under uncultured bacterium. RNAcentral describes it as "partial 16S ribosomal RNA". It matches the Rfam family "Bacterial small subunit ribosomal RNA", at positions 524 to 767 of the family's 1533-position model. The record is from RNAcentral.
GACGAACCGUGCAAACGUUAUUCGGAAUCACUGGGCUUAAAGCGCGUGUAGGCGGGCCGGCACGUCGAGAGCUGAAAGCCCCCGGCUCAACCGGGGAACGGGCCUCGAUACGACCGGCCUGGAGGGGGGUAGGGGGAGCCGGAACUUCCGGUGGAGCGGUGAAAUGCGUUGAGAUCGGAAGGAACGCCCGUGGCGAAAGCGGGCUCCUGGACCCCACCUGACGCUGAGACGCGAAAGCCAGGGGA